RNAcentral lists this ribosomal RNA (561 nucleotides) under Dacrymyces lacrymalis. RNAcentral describes it as "eukaryotic LSU rRNA". It matches the Rfam family "Eukaryotic large subunit ribosomal RNA", at positions 50 to 655 of the family's 3401-position model. Lineage: Eukaryota; Fungi; Basidiomycota; Dacrymycetes; Dacrymycetales; Dacrymycetaceae. The record is from RNAcentral.
GCGGAGGAAAAGAAACUAACAAGGAUUCCCCUAGUAACUGCGAGUGAAGCGGGAAAAGCUCAAAUUUAAAAUCCCUCGGGAAUUGUAAUCUAGAGAAGUGUUUUCGGUCGUUGCCUCGGACAAGUCCUUUGGAACAAGGCGUCAUAGAGGGUGAGAAUCCCGUCCUUGCCGAGCUACCAACGUCUAUGUGAUACACUCUCGAAGAGUCGAGUUGUUUGGGAAUGCAGCUCAAAACGGGUGGUAAACUCCAUCUAAAGCUAAAUAUUGGCGAGAGACCGAUAGCGAACAAGUACCGUGAGGGAAAGAUGAAAAGCACUUUGGACAGAGAGUUAAACAGUACGUGAAAUUGUUGAAAGGGAAACGCUUGAAGUCAGUCGCGUUGCAGGGACUCAGCCGCAAGGUGCAUUUCUCGGUGACGGGUCAACAUCAGUUUCGAGCGCGGGAAAAGGGCUUGGGGAAUGUGGCAGCCUCGGCUGUGUUAUAGCCCCCUGUCGUACACCGCGCCCGGGACUGAGGACCGCUAAUAGGAUGUUGACGUAAUGGCUUUAAGCGACCCGUCUU